AUUGAACGCUGGCGGCAUGCCUUACACAUGCAAGUCGAACGGCAGCACGGGAGCAAUCCUGGUGGCGAGUGGCGAACGGGUGAGUAAUAUAUCGGAACGUGCCCAGUCGUGGGGGAUAACGUAGCGAAAGCUACGCUAAUACCGCAUACGAUCUAUGGAUGAAAGCGGGGGAUCGCAAGACCUCGCGCGAUUGGAGCGGCCGAUAUCAGAUUAGGUAGUUGGUGGGGUAAAGGCCUACCAAGCCUUCGAUCUGUAGCUGGUCUGAGAGGACGACCAGCCACACUGGGAACUGAGACACGGGUCCAGACUCCUACGGGAGGCAGCAGUGGGGAAUUUUUGGGACAAUGGGCGCAAGCCUGAUCCAGCAAUGCCGCGUGCAGGGAUGAAGGCCUUCGGGUUGUAAACUGCUUUUUGUACGG
RNAcentral lists this ribosomal RNA (419 nucleotides) under uncultured bacterium. RNAcentral describes it as "bacterial SSU rRNA". It matches the Rfam family "Bacterial small subunit ribosomal RNA", at positions 30 to 444 of the family's 1533-position model. The record is from RNAcentral.